AGUUUUUGUGGGAAGCUUUGUGACGUCUAAGGCUAGCGUUUCACCGGAGGGAUUUAGUAGUUAACGGUUGGUUUGUAUUUUAGGGUUUCGUCUUUGAGACUGGUUGUUUCUAUUUUUCAUGUCCAGUUUGCUUCAAGGUUGCUUUUGGUUUUAACUUGUUGUAGGACGUUUCUGGACUGUUUCAGACGCAAGGAGAGUCUCUCCUGGGUUUAAUUGUUGUUAGAAUCACUUUGUUAAGGUGAGUGCGUGACCAUGAGUUUAUCUGAGCGAUUGGGUUGUAUUUAUUGUUUUGUGUGAUGGUAUGUAGGUGUGGUGAAUGUGUUUUGGGUGAAUUGUUCAAUGACUGGUUUGUUUAUGAUGUAUUUGUGAUUAUACCCUUUUAAUUGCUUGUGUGUAUAGUUCGUAGAUGAGAUGAUCGCCUCACUAAGUAUUUGUGAUAAUAUUUACACAUCUCUUUCUUUUUGAUGCAGGUAAAGAUAAAGUGUGAUCGUAGAAUCAUGGGAAGGAAGAGAGGAUGAUUUAGGAACUCGUUUGAUUUAUUUUUGUGUUUUGGUUAUUGGAAUCCGGUUAGGGUUGUGUUAGGAUUGUUAGUCAUACUUGGUUUUGUUUGGUUGAAUUAUUUAUUUAUUCAUUAAAUAGUAUUUUUUGACUUGCUUUUUAAAUAUUAUUUUAUUGGUUGGUUUAAUUAAGUAUUUAUGGAAAUAUUUAAUUAUAU
RNAcentral lists this small RNA (715 nucleotides) under Arabidopsis thaliana (thale cress). RNAcentral describes it as "ATSL097540". The record is from RNAcentral. Lineage: Eukaryota; Viridiplantae; Streptophyta; Magnoliopsida; Brassicales; Brassicaceae.